GGUUAAUGGUCCCCUGUACCAUCCCCAUCCUGAGUGACUACUGAGCAGCCGCAGGGACUCGGGGUUGCUCCGUGACCAGGUUACUCAGUUACCUUCUUGUUCCUUGGAGAGGCGGAGCUGAAUGGCCCGUGUCGGCCAUCGGACCCCAAGUCUCCAGCCGUGUUAUCUGCAGACUGUGAUUGUAUGUGCCAAGCUGACUAAAGUCAGAGAUUCCCCUGCUGACCUUGAAAAAGCAAGUCACCAUGAAUUCAACAGGUGCAAAGAAAUGACUUCUGUCAACAAUCAGGUGACUUUGGAAGAGGUUUCUGAGCCUCAGACUGGCCAACACUUUGAAGCCUUGUGAGAAUCUGACCAUCCAACUAAGCCUUGCCCUGACUCCUGACCCAUGGAAACUGUGAGAUAAUAAAUGUAUGUUGUUUUAAGCUAUUAUGUUUGGGAUAAUUUCUUACAUCAUAGACAACUAUUGCAGCCGUGUAGUUAUUCUUUUAAAAAUUAAUAUGAACUAUUUCAAAUAUAUAGAAAGUAAUACAGAAUAGUAUAAAUGGUAUCAUGUAUACAGUAUGAAGAAAUAGAGUAUUACAAGUAAUGUUGAAACUUGUUGUGUAGCCUCUUCUAAUUCUGCUUUUCUUAAUUCUUUCUGAGAAGCAACCCACUGUAAUGAAGGUGUUGAUUAGCAUUUAUGUGCAUUUUUUAGAACAGUAUUUUGCUAUAUAUGUGUACGUCUAAAAGCAACAUAUCAUUUAUUUCUGUUUGAUUUUUCCUCUACUAGAAAUAGAUUAAAACCCUUUCAUUAGGAUUGCUUCCUGUUAAUUUUUCUUUGUAUCAUCAUCCAGUUUUAUAUUAUGAAUUUUAACAACAUUUUGUUACUUGCUGUGACAGAGACAUUUAAUAUUACUGAAUAAGCAUGUGCUUCAUCACAUCUGCCAGCUCCCUAAACAGUUGAGUCAUGCCAUGUGACAAGUUCUGGCCAACUGCUUGGCAAUUGGCAACCAAGGAAGCUGUAUGUUGAGAUGUUUGAACCACAAGUUUGAAACUGCUGGGGCUUAUCGGGGGAAACCCCACCCCCGAUAUUUAACAUGGGUUCUUUUCUAUUUCCCUAAGCAUCUUGGCUGGUCUGAGAAAUAAAGGGAAAGAGUACAAAAGAGAGAAA
This is a non-coding RNA of Chlorocebus sabaeus (green monkey), 1150 nucleotides long. The record is from RefSeq and is a predicted model, not a curated record. Lineage: Eukaryota; Metazoa; Chordata; Mammalia; Primates; Cercopithecidae.